AAUUUAAAUGGCUGCAGUAUUUUGACUGUACAAAGGUAGCAUAAUCAUUUGUCUUUUAAUUGAAGGCUUGUAUGAAUGGUUGGAUGAGAAAUAUACUUUCUUUAUUUUAUAUAAAAAAUUUAAUUUUUUGGUUAAAAAGCCAAAAUAUUUUUAUAGGACGAGAAGACCCUAUAGAACUUUAUUUUCUUUUUAUAUAAAUUUUUUAGAUUUAUAUAAUUUUAUAUAAUUAUGUUAAUUUUGUUGGGGUGAUUGAAAAAAAAAAUUAACUUUUUCUAUUUUUUACAUUUAUUUAUGUUAUUUUGAUCCUAUUUUAUGGAAAAAAAGAUUAAGUUACCUUAGGGAUAACAGCGUUAUUUUUUUGGAGAGUUCAUAUCGAUAAAAAAGUUUGCGACCUCGAUGUUGGAUUAAAAUAAGUAAUAGGAGCAGAAUAUUAUUUACUAGGUCUGUUCGACC
RNAcentral lists this ribosomal RNA (453 nucleotides) under Diomocoris woodwardi. RNAcentral describes it as "partial large subunit ribosomal RNA". It matches the Rfam family "Bacterial large subunit ribosomal RNA", at positions 1920 to 2586 of the family's 2925-position model. The record is from RNAcentral. Lineage: Eukaryota; Metazoa; Arthropoda; Insecta; Hemiptera; Miridae.